Molecule: long non-coding RNA, 284 nt
Filed under: Medicago truncatula (barrel medic)
Lineage: Eukaryota; Viridiplantae; Streptophyta; Magnoliopsida; Fabales; Fabaceae
Description: lncRNA gene15573
Source: RNAcentral
GACUUAUGUUCUAAGUUAUAUACAGGUAAGACCCCACACCCCUUUAUCCCCUCCGUUGACCACCACAAUUCUUCAUUGACAUCAUGAUCUGAAAUUAAUACAUGAUCUGAAAUUAAUGUCCCAAUAUAAUUGCAAGCAAAAGUAAAACACGUUUCAACUUCUUUGCCGUUUUCAAAGAUGACACAAUGCAGGGGGUGAUUGCAAAUAUGGAAGCCCUUAGAAAGAAUGGUGCAGAAUAUGAAACCAGACAGGUUAUAUUUUGGAAUAGGAGGAAUGGUUAUUGA